AAUUAAGCGGAGAAAGAUCUAACUAGGAUUCCCUCAGUAACGGCGAGUGAAGCGGGACUAGCUCAGGAUGUGAAUCUGCGCUUUUAUGGCGCCGAAUUGUGGUCUAUAGACUUUGACGUUAUCUGCCGGGCCAAGUUCCUUGGAAAAGGACAGCUGAGAGGGUGAGACUCCCGUCCGCCUGGUAGAAUGAGUCUUUGUCAACGAGUCGAGUUGUUUGGGAUUGCAGCUCUAAUUUGGUGGUAAAUUCCAUCUAAAGCUAAAUAUUGGUGGGAGACCGAUAGCGUACAAGUACCGUGAGGGAAAGAUGCAAAGAACUUUGAAAAGAGAGUUAAAGAGUACCUGAAAUUGCUGAAACGGAAGCGAAGGAAACCAGUGUUUGUUGGUUCAUAUUUCCCUGGCCACUUGUGGUUUGGGCGCUGUGAGCUUGCGUGGGUUUGCUUUGGUUGAUCCCUUUGGAAGAGCGCAGUCAGAGUUGAUGUCUGUUGCUAGCACUGGGUUUGACUAAUGCAG
RNAcentral lists this small RNA (510 nucleotides) under Pseudo-nitzschia delicatissima. RNAcentral's name for it is "eukaryotic LSU rRNA". It matches the Rfam family "Eukaryotic large subunit ribosomal RNA", at positions 44 to 572 of the family's 3401-position model. Lineage: Eukaryota; Bacillariophyta; Bacillariophyceae; Bacillariales; Bacillariaceae. The record is from RNAcentral.